This 406-nucleotide ribosomal RNA is filed under the name uncultured bacterium. RNAcentral's name for it is "partial 16S ribosomal RNA". It matches the Rfam family "Bacterial small subunit ribosomal RNA", at positions 29 to 526 of the family's 1533-position model. The record is from RNAcentral.
AUUGAACGCUGGCGGCAGGCUUAACACAUGCAAGUCGAGCGAGCGGCGGAGGGGUGAGUAAUGUCUGGGAAACUGCCUGAAGGAGGGGGAGAACUACUGGAAACGGUAGCUAAUACCGCAUACCAUCAGAUGUGCCCAGAUGGGAUUAGCUAGUAGGUGGGGUAAUGGCUCACCUGGGCGACGAUCCCUAGCUGGUCUGAGAGGAUGACCAGCCACACUGGAACUGAGACACGGUCCAGACUCCUACGGGAGGCAGCAGUGGGGAAUAUUGCACAAUGGGCUCAAGGCCGAUGGAGCCAGGCCGGGUGAGUGAAGAAGGCGUUCGGGUUGUAAAGUACUCUCGGCGAGGAGGCGUUACCCGACUACGAAGCCUCGGCUAACUCCGUGCCAGCAGCCGCGGUAAUAC